CCCUUAGAGUUUGAUCCUGGCUCAGAUUGAACGCUGGCGGCAUGCCUUACACAUGCAAGUCGAACGGUAACAGGGAGCUUGCUCCGCUGACGAGUGGCGAACGGGUGAGUAAUACAUCGGAACGUGCCCAGUAAUGGGGGAUAGCUCGGCGAAAGCCGGAUUAAUACCGCAUACGCCCUGAGGGGGAAAGUGGAGGACCGCAAGGCCUCACGUUAUUGGAGCGGCCGAUGGCUGAUUAGCUAGUUGGUAGGGUAAAGGCCUACCAAGGCGACGAUCAGUAGCUGGUCUGAGAGGACGAUCAGCCACACUGGGACUGAGACACGGCCCAGACUCCUACGGGAGGCAGCAGUGGGGAAUUUUGGACAAUGGGGGAAACCCUGAUCCAGCAAUGCCGCGUGUGCGAAGAAGGCCUUCGGGUUGUAAAGCACUUUUGUCAGGGAAGAAAUCCUUUGGGCUAAUACCCUAGGGGGAUGACGGUACCUGAAGAAUAAGCACCGGCUAACUACGUGCCAGCAGCCGCGGUAAUACGUAGGGUGCAAGCGUUAAUCGGAAUUACUGGGCGUAAAGCGUGCGCAGGCGGUUGUGUAAGACAGGUGUGAAAUCCCCGGGCUUAACCUGGGAAUUGCAUUUGUGACUGCACGACUAGAGUGUGUCAGAGGGGGGUGGAAUUCCACGUGUAGCAGUGAAAUGCGUAGAUAUGUGGAGGAACACCAAUGGCGAAGGCAGCCCCCUGGGAUAACACUGACG
This 747-nucleotide ribosomal RNA is filed under the name uncultured bacterium. RNAcentral's name for it is "bacterial SSU rRNA". It matches the Rfam family "Bacterial small subunit ribosomal RNA", at positions 1 to 745 of the family's 1533-position model. The record is from RNAcentral.